RNAcentral lists this ribosomal RNA (253 nucleotides) under uncultured bacterium. RNAcentral's name for it is "partial 16S ribosomal RNA". It matches the Rfam family "Bacterial small subunit ribosomal RNA", at positions 524 to 776 of the family's 1533-position model. The record is from RNAcentral.
UACGGGGGGGGCAAGCGUUGUUCGGAAUUACUGGGCGUAAAGGGCUCGUAGGUGGCCAACUAAGUCAGACGUGAAAUCCCCAGGCUCAACUUGGGAACUGCGUCUGAUACUGGAUGGCUUGAAUUCGGGAGAGGGAUGCAGAAUUCCAGGUGUAGCGGUGAAAUGCGUAGAUAUCGGGAAGAACACCCGUGGCGAAGGCGGCUCUCUGGGACGGUACUGACGCUGAGACGCGAAAGCGUGGGGAGCGAACAGG